CCCCUCGAUGCAGAGUCAGUCGAUUUUCACCUUCAUUGCCGUCGGUAUCGCGGCUGCAUUUCUGCUGGUGCUUGUUGCGGUUAUUGUCUCAUGGAAACGCCGAAAGAAUAACAUUGCCUCCGAUGGAAACCAGCCUGUAGUUCGCUACACACGGACUGGAACCGACAGGCCCACGGCGUCUGUGAGUCCUGUUUUGAACACAGUCG
RNAcentral lists this long non-coding RNA (206 nucleotides) under Patiria miniata (bat star). Its description in RNAcentral is "uncharacterized LOC119735765". The record is from RNAcentral. Lineage: Eukaryota; Metazoa; Echinodermata; Asteroidea; Valvatida; Asterinidae.